GCAAGUCGAACGUUCGUUGAACCCAUAGCUUAUUCGUACUAAUCGGAGGUAUGUCCUGGCCAGAAGACUCACCAGGUCCUCACUGGGAUACAUGAAGUAUCCCAGUGAGUGCCUGGGACAAUGGGGACGGAAGCGGGAACAUGACCUGGAACACGUUGGGCGAACGGGUGCGUAACGCGUGGGCUUGAGCGCAUCUGCCGAACAGUGGCAAAAAAGCAAUAAAUCAGUUUUCACUGUUUGAGGAGCCUGCGUCGUAUUAGGUAGUUGGUCAGUGAAUAGCGGGCCAAGCCAUUGAUGCGUUGCUGGUCUUGUCGGAUGAGCAGCCACACUGGGAAUGAGAAGGACGGACUCCGGUUUGGGGAGGAAGCAGUGGGGAAUCUUGGACAAUGGUUCGACGACCGAUCCAGCAAUAUAGCGUGAGUGAACCGACGGGCGAGAUACGCUUGUAAAGCUUGUUCAAUCGACUGGGGCGAUAGCGAUCAUGACAGAACUGGGUUUGAAGCCCCGGCCAACUCCGUGCCAGCAGCCGCGGUAAGACGGGGGGGGCAAGUGUUCUUCGGAAUGACUGGGCGUCAAGGGCAAGUGGGCGGUGGUCGAGUGGUGGGAUUGUCUGUUGCCUGACUGGCUAGCCUAGGUUCAACACCAAUGCCACUGGAGUCACCCGAGUAGAGUGGAAUGUCUCGUUGGGGAGGGGUCAAAUCCGGAGAUCGAAGAUGGAACGCCGAUGAAGCGAAGGCAGCUCUAUUGGGCAGCACGGACGCUGAUUGGUUGCGACAGCAUGGGGAGCGAACGGGAUUAGAUACCCCAUUAGUCCUAGCAGUAAACGAUGAGUGUCAGCCCUCCUGGUGGGGCUCGAGCACGCUUGGAACACUCCGCCUGGGAAGUACGGUCAGACCGAAACUCAAAGGAAUUGACGGGGGCCAGAUCAAGCGGUGGAGCAUGUGGUUUAAUUCGAUACAACGCGCAUCACCUUACCCGCCCGAGUAGGAACGAUCGCCCCUUGGCAGAAACGGAAGCAAUGGGGCCUAUGGGGUACUGUCUGCUUCGGACUCGUGUUCACACCGGUGCUGCAUGGCUGUCGUCAGCGCGUCUCGUGAGAUAGCAAUGGGUCAUCCGAUAACGAGCUCAAUCCUACCUAGUACAGUGUUGCUGAGACAUGCCAGUCGUUCCAAUGUCUCUAUACGCUGGUACUGAUAUAUAUUGUUCAGCGUCUAAAACUGGUACUGAUAUAUAUUGUCAGGUCCAUCCACUCUUUCAUGGCAUAGGGGGUUCAUGGUCCUCGCCAAGUACACCUUGGAAGGUGUGCGCUCAGUACUCUACUCUAAUAGUCUCUUCAGCGUCAGUACUCUACUCUAAUAGUGUUGGUAUGAUACAGAAUCAAUUGAGUAGCGGAGGAGUUGGUGGUGGACUUUAUAUGCUAGAAUACCCGACCUUCAAGCAAUAGUGGAAUGACCUGGAAGAGAUGGCCUAUUCAUGGAGUUGUGGUUGAGUUGAUUUGGCACUUCGGUGGGGGGGGACUGAGUCAUGGGCUGGCGUGCUAAUCACUCUGGACUGCCACUCGAAAAGAUGGAGGUGGUGGGCUGAAGUCAAGUCCGCAUGGCCUGAUGGUCGGGGCGACACACGUGCUACUAGUAGUGGUCCAUGACAAUGGGAAGCAUGGCUGAACGGCUGAGCCAACCCGGUUCGAAGGCAAAGAGGAUACCGCAAUCAAUCGUUCGGAUUGUUCUCUGCAAUCGGGAACAUGAAGUUGGAAUCGCUAGUGAUCGCGGAUCAGCAUGCCGCGGUGAAUCUGUACCCUGGCCCUGUACACACCGCCCGUCACACCCCUUUGCUGGUCGUAGCCCGACGCAUCGAUUCGCACCUCCGUCCCGUUGCUCGAUUCAUGGUGCCAUUAGUUCCUUAUCCCUAUCAGUGACUCCCAAAGGAUAGCGGGUGUUCGGCCAAUGCGUGUACGUUGUGGUGCUCAUGGUCUGGUUCGAUUCAUGCUAUUGCCAUGACCUUUUGCCCGUGGGGUGAAGUCGUAACAAGGUAGCCGUAGGGGAACCUGUGGCUGGAUUG
Molecule: ribosomal RNA, 2058 nt
Filed under: Viscum album (European mistletoe)
Lineage: Eukaryota; Viridiplantae; Streptophyta; Magnoliopsida; Santalales; Viscaceae
Description: bacterial SSU rRNA
Rfam family: Bacterial small subunit ribosomal RNA
Source: RNAcentral